UCAACUCAAAGCUCAAAACCUCAUUUUCUUCCUUAAUCUUUCUUGUUUUUGUUCUUAUUAUGUUUCUCCUUUUUCAUUCUUAUUCAGCUCAGACUGUAGGUUUAAACAAAUAAAUAAUGUAUGAAAGCAGCAGUAAUUCUCGGGGUGGUUUAAUUGUUGUGGCGAUUGGUAGCAUUUUUUGUGGAGGAUAAAGUUGCAGGGUUUGCCGGCGGAGGUGGCAUCGGCGUCAGCGUCGAGUUUGCCGGCGGAGAACGGCGAGCAGUGUUAAUGGUCAAAGGAAAUUCCAAAUUGUCAUUCCAAAAAUUUCCAAAUUUAGUUCAAAUAAAAUUUAGCUUCCAUCUUUGAGUUGGUGGUGAAAAGUCACUCGGAGCAGGUGUUAAGUGUAUAUUUAUACACUUAAUUGUACCUUUUAAUUGGAACUUUUGGUAUGUUUUAACGAUAAUUGGUGCUUAAAAUGGUUAUUAUUUGUAUUUUAGGUGCAAAUUGAAGAAUUGGCAACUUGUGGGGUGAAAACUGCAAAUUCGGAGAAAAAGUGGGCCAAAAGUGAAAAUGUCGAAAUUCUGG
RNAcentral lists this long non-coding RNA (564 nucleotides) under Erythranthe guttata (spotted monkey flower). Its description in RNAcentral is "long non-coding RNA (EGUT_LNC002723)". The record is from RNAcentral. Lineage: Eukaryota; Viridiplantae; Streptophyta; Magnoliopsida; Lamiales; Phrymaceae.